CAAUCCAACCCUUCCACUUUUCAUCCAUUCAUUCACUCCUACAUCUCUCUCUCACUAAAUGCACCAACAUCUCAUCUCUCUAUCUCUCUAAAUUCUUGAGUUAAUUUAAUGAUAUCCCAACUAAAUUUGAAAUAAAUUCAUCAUCUUUAUCACCAUUUGAUCAUCAUAUCCAAAGAUCAUAAGUCAAAAUGCAAGAAAUCAUAUUUAAAGCUUAAAUUUUGGAUUUAAGGCUUCUUGAAGGUUUUGGUCGUUGACUUUGAAGGUUCGUGACAUAGUAACUCGACGAGUACUUACAACUUAAUUAUAACUUGACGAUAUAAGGCAAGGUGAACAGGUGAAUCAAAGACGUGUUGGAUGAUGAUUGAUUG
Long non-coding RNA from Erigeron canadensis, 368 nucleotides. RefSeq lists it as uncharacterized. The record is from RefSeq and is a predicted model, not a curated record. The transcript is spliced from 3 exons. Lineage: Eukaryota; Viridiplantae; Streptophyta; Magnoliopsida; Asterales; Asteraceae.